Molecule: ribosomal RNA, 315 nt
Filed under: uncultured eukaryote
Lineage: Eukaryota
Description: partial 18S ribosomal RNA
Rfam family: Eukaryotic small subunit ribosomal RNA
Source: RNAcentral
CCCUUAGACGUUCUGGGCCGCACGCGCGCUACACUGACCAGUGCAACAAGCAUCCGUCCUUGGCCGACAGGCCCGGGCAAUCUUUGAACGCUGGUCGUGAUGGGGAUAGACUUUUGCAAUGUUUGGUCUUCAACGAGGAAUUCCUAGUAAACGCAAGUCAUCAACUUGCAUUGAUUACGUCCCUGCCCUUUGUACACACCGCCCGUCGCACCUACCGAUUGAAUGGUCCGGUGAAGCCUCCGGAUUGGCGCGCACCUCGGUGCCGCCGAGAAGUUGGCUAAACCUUACCAUUUAGAGGAAGGUGAAGUCGUAACA